GCACACAGCCAUGUCACCCUGCAGCCCAAGACCGGUUACUCACUGAAGCUAAGCUGGGCUGAGCCUGGUCAGUACCUGGAUGGGAGACCACUAGGGAACACUAGGUUGCUGUUGGAA
Molecule: non-coding RNA, 117 nt
Organism: Danio rerio (zebrafish)
Lineage: Eukaryota; Metazoa; Chordata; Actinopteri; Cypriniformes; Danionidae
Source: Rfam